AUUGAACGCUGGCGGCAUGCCUUACACAUGCAAGUCGAACGGCAGCGCGGGAGCAAUCCUGGCGGCGAGUGGCGAACGGGUGAGUAAUACAUCGGAACGUGCCCAAUCGUGGGGGAUAACGCAGCGAAAGCUGUGCUAAUACCGCAUAAGAUCUACGGAUGAAAGCAGGGGAUCGCAAGACCUUGCGCGAAUGGAGCGGCCGAUGGCAGAUUAGGUAGUUGGUGAGGUAAAGGCUCACCAAGCCUUCGAUCUGUAGCUGGUCUGAGAGGACGACCAGCCACACUGGGACUGAGACACGGCCCAGACUCCUACGGAGGCAGCAGUGGGGAAUUUUGGACAAUGGGCGCAAGCCUGAUCCAGCCAUGCCGCGUGCAGGAUGAAGGCC
Molecule: ribosomal RNA, 385 nt
Filed under: uncultured bacterium
Lineage: Bacteria
Description: bacterial SSU rRNA
Rfam family: Bacterial small subunit ribosomal RNA
Source: RNAcentral